Ictalurus punctatus (channel catfish) is the source of this 150-nucleotide small nucleolar RNA. Lineage: Eukaryota; Metazoa; Chordata; Actinopteri; Siluriformes; Ictaluridae. The record is from Ensembl.
CUUCAGUGAUGAUACGAUGACGAGUCGGAAUGGGAUUGUACUUCGCUCGAAGGAGUCUGUCCCUGAGUCACGUUCUGUGCCUCUGAGCUUGGACCCUUUGAGCGGAGAGUCCCUUUAGCUUGAAGACAUCGAGGCAUUUGUCUGAGAAGG